GGCACUGCACACAUUUGCUUCACUGGUCGGUGACCAACAAGCCUCUCCACGCUUCUUAGCCAGCGAAACGCUCCCUCAAGCCGUUCAAGGAUGAACUUCGUACGCUUGCUGUCAGUCCUCAUGGUGGUGGUGGUCCUGAUGUCCACCGUCUCUGAGGCGGGGCCUCUCCUUCGCAAUAGAAGAAGAGGUAGAUUUGGCAGAGGGCGCGGCGUGGCCAACGGCAUCAGCCCCAUAUACGGGGACACGUACGCCAACUUCGCCACCGGUAACUCCCUCGUUCCCGGAGUCUUCAACCAGCUGGGCUUCGUCAACUUUUGAGGAUGAAGUGCGGCCGUACGACAACAUACAAAGUCAAUCAGGGGCGCGUGCCGCCCCCGCCGAAAUUGACGCUCGACGGCUGGAAAGCCUGACUUCUGGCCCAGCGGGACCCAACGUGCUCCGCGUCCAGUCGCGAACUACUACAUACCUCGUCGCCGUGACGAGCGUCACGGGACCCAACGUGCUCCGCGUCCAGUCGCGAACUACUACAUACCUCGUCGCCGUGACGAGCGUCAGUGGUGGCCACAUCAACAUGGUCUAUAAUAAUUCGCAACACAGACAAGAAGUGUUACAGAGUCGGGAGAAAAUUCCACAGGUUGUCUCCCGCCUGGUGACGUGACGAGGCCUAGAGUGUGAGGCUGUUUGUGUGUUUUAUGGUAGAGUCAGAGAAGUCGCUCAUAGCGAGUCUUGCUUCGCUCAUCCAAUUGUUUCCGGUGACAGUGUAGAGCUGUGGUCACAUCAGCUGACAUUGUGAUGUACAUACUGCAUCAGUUAGUCCACGCCCACCAGUUGGGCUCCAGUCCAUACGAUCAACAGCUUAUUUUGUCUUUAAAUACACAUGUACUUUUUUUGUUAAUAUUUAUUUAACGCUCUGUCCAGUUUUAUUGCAAUAAUAUAUAUUGUCAAAGUUCCAUAUCUCAAUAAUAUUUAACACUGUUACAUUGUACUUAUCAUGUAUUUUCUGUUUCAUUAACAUGUCUCCCUGAUAAUCAAAAGAACAACAUGCAACAGUUCAACA
Long non-coding RNA from Scylla paramamosain (green mud crab), 1057 nucleotides. RefSeq lists it as uncharacterized. The record is from RefSeq and is a predicted model, not a curated record. NCBI's taxonomy places the organism in Eukaryota, Metazoa, Arthropoda, Malacostraca, Decapoda, Portunidae. The transcript has 2 exons.